GUAGGGCCAACGUCCCCUCCUCCAACACCCAUCUCUACCAGGCUCUCCGGAGCUGCUGGGUAGAGCCUCCCAAAAUCUCAGUGCCCAGCCCCCAUCACCCGGGGGCUGGGUGGCCAAGCUGAGUUAAGCUAGAAAGAACAGGAGAGUUCAGGAAGGAACAUGUGUCUCAGCUAACAGGGCAGGGUAGACUGUGCUGGAAUGGUGGAAUAAGCUGAAUGCUGUCUGAACAGGGGCAUGGUGUGACUCCUUCCGAGAGAUCAGAAAUGCCACAGAAAGGACAACGAGGUAGAAGGUACUAAGAACCAGGAGGCAAGGCUCCAGGCUUCAUUCUGUCAUGACCAGUAAACUCGAGACCUCUGCCAGUCCUCCCAGAUCCCACAUUCCAAAACAUCAUGGUCUCUUCUCCUGUCUGCCCGGAUCCAAUGGACGCUGGUCUUCCUUCCUCUGGCAAGCUCCUGCCAGCUCAGGAUCCUGCCAGGAUGCCCAAUGCCCACAGCCUCAUCUCCAGAUCUAGUCUUGCUAUGAGCCCAGCUGCAGCGGCCCUGAGCCGUCACUAAACUGAGCAGACCCCACCCUGCCUUCUCCGCAUCAGGAUUAGAGGUUAGGGAAGGGUCAUGAGAGCAGAUUUCCUGCUGUCGCUUCCAUCGGACCAGACUGAGACGAGACGAGAAGGAAGGCGUGUGGUGGCAGCCAUGGGCGCAGUGGGGGAAGCAGGACUGGCCACCAAACAGAUUAUUGUGGACGCAUGCGGGUCUGGGCAAGCUAUUUGCCAACACGGCUUGCAUCUCAGGCUGAUGUUGGCAGAAGCCCAGGGUCUCGGCCUGCAAGACGCUGGGGAAGAACAUCUACCAACCCUGUUCUCCUUAAAAGGAGAGCUCCUCCUCAAACAGGCACACAGGACACAGCCGUGGGGGUGGAGAACCAGCCAGCAGCUACCAACAAGCAGGACAUAGCUUCCAGCCCAGGAGGAGUUUAGUGUUUCAAACCACACAUCACAAAUCAUUUCCUCUGCACAUUCCUUGGAAGUUUGGGGGCAUUAACUCUCCAUCUUAUCUUUCCUAGGGUGGAUGCCAGGAGCUGGCCCUAGUGAUGUUUGCAUUUGAACAACAGUGAGAUUGGGUGUCAGCUGCCCCAGGGGCGCGGAGGAAGAUGAAGAAAUGGAGCAGGCUGUCUCCAGGCAAAGGAGGAGAGAAGGGCAGAAUCCGGAUGGUAUGGAAUGAACAGCAAGGGAGGGAAGCGGAAAGGGGAACUGGGAUUUGCUACUGCUCUAUCAAAUUACAGUGUGCAAAGCUAGCUCCAGGUGGUGGGCUCCUGAGUGUCACCGCCAGGGUACAAACCUCAGUUGUGCCCUCUACUUACUGUGUGACCAUGUGUGAAUGGGCAAACUCUCUGAACUUGAGUUUGCCUCUCAGCAAAACAGUACCUACUUCCUGGGACUGUCAGGGGCACUGAAUGAGAUGACAAGCGACCCUUAGCCCAGCACCUGGUACACAGCAAACACUCCAUCCGAUCCGGACACGAUUAUCAUUCUGCCAGAACUUCUGUGAAAUUUGGUUACAGGUCUGCACUCCUGAGCGAUGAAAGGGCACAGGCCUCAGAAAUAAGAAGACCCAGGUUGAAAAAUGGCUCUGCCACCUAUGACGACCACCUUCUUGAGUUUUCUGGGCCUCAGGCUCCCCCUGGAAAAUGGAGAUAAAGUAAACAACCGCAGAGGACUGCAGUGAGAAAUGAAGCACACGGUGUUUGUAAAGUGCUUGGAGCAGCACUGGCAUGUCCCCCACUAGGUGAGGCCACAGCAAGGAGAUAGUCAUCUGCAACACAGGAAGAGGAGCUCCACCAUAACCUGCUCGUGCUGGCCCCUUGAUCUCAGGUGUCCAGCCCCCAGAACUACGAGAAAUAAAUGACUGAUGAGCAAGCUUCCCCCUCCCCACCCCCGCCAUCUGUGGCAUUUUAUUAUGGGAGCCUGGACUCAUACAGGUGUUAUAUGAUUAGAACUGACAGACACCGAAGCUGGCUGAUUCAAGGGCGAGGUCCAGGCUGGAGAUGCAAACCCAGGAGGCCUCAGCACGCGGACAAGUUAGUACAACAAAAGGGGGAUAAUAUACUUCCUACCUCACAGGUGGCUGUGAGGACUGAAAUAGAUACUUCACAUGGCCUGCUUAGCACUGUGGUAGGGCACGUAUGAAAGCUUGGUAAAUGGGACUGUUACCUGCAGAAGAUCACACAAGGAUAUGCUCUUGGAAUCACAGAAUUUUGGAUAGAUUCUCUAGCUCAAAAACCUUAAUUUGUAGCUAGGGAAACUAAGCUAAGCCAAAAUUAUUGACUUGCCUGGCAUUUUUCUACCAUUAACGAUUGUUUUUUUUUUUAAGAUUUACAGACCCAGCCAUAAAGGAGGAAGGUGAAGUUUAACCAUACCUUGAUAUUCAAUUACACAGAAGGGUACCAAUAAACCUUGGAAAUGCCAACGCCAAA
This is a long non-coding RNA of Felis catus (domestic cat), 2472 nucleotides long. RefSeq lists it as uncharacterized. Lineage: Eukaryota; Metazoa; Chordata; Mammalia; Carnivora; Felidae. The record is from RefSeq and is a predicted model, not a curated record. The transcript has 3 exons.